Felis catus (domestic cat) is the source of this 2585-nucleotide long non-coding RNA. RefSeq lists it as uncharacterized. The transcript is spliced from 7 exons. The record is from RefSeq and is a predicted model, not a curated record. Lineage: Eukaryota; Metazoa; Chordata; Mammalia; Carnivora; Felidae.
CGCGAAUUCAAAGGGAUACCUGCACCCCUAUGUUUAUAGCAGCAUUAUUUACGAUAGCCAAGAUAUGGAAGCAGCCCAAGUGUCCAUGGACAGAUGAGUGGAUAAAGAAGAUGUGGUGGGUAUAUACAACAGGGCAUCAUUCAGCCAGACAAGAGAGUGAAGUCUUGCCAAUUGCAACAACCUGGAUGGAGCUGGCGACUAUAAUGAUGAGCAACGCACAACUCUACCUGGGUAUAAACUCCCAGGAGCAGAGCAGCCGGAUCGAAGGGUGCACACAUUUCCCUCUCUGAGAGAUGUUACAAAUCCCCCUCGGGGCCGGGCACAGCCCACAACCAGGAGUCUAGUCGUGCACCUCCCCCGGUUCUCAGGAAACGUUGUGAUCUCUGCCAAUCUGCCCGCCUACUUGCAAAGAAUCGUCAACCAACUUGCAACAUGGAGCUUCGAUACCGUCUGAAAAUAAGACCACCCCUCUGCUUGGGACGAAGGCUCCUUUCUUCAGCUGUUGCUUUCUUUUCGUCAUGGGGAAAGAGCCUAAAUGUCCAUCAACGGAUGAAUGGAGAAAGAAGGCGUGGUUUGCACGGGAUACUACGUGGCAAUGAGAAAGAAUGAAAUCUGGCUGUUUGUAGCCGCGUGGGCGGAACUGGAGAGGGUGAUGCUAAGUGCAAUAAGUCAGGCAGAGAAAAACAGGUCUUUUCAGCGGGUCAGGAGCUCCCUGAGGAGGCGGACAAAUGUUCUGCUCGAAUCUCCAGCGGGGUCGGGCACCCGGCUCGGUCCCUCCUUCCCGGUUGGUCUGUGCCGUGCUCCGUUGGGAUCCGGAAAAUCCCGCCUGGGUCUCUGGCGCUCUCAGCUGCUGUUGGGGGUGAAGGGGGUUCCCUGGGAGGGGGGAGGGGCUCUGCUCGAUGAAGGCGUCCUGGGCAGGUCAGCGGCCACUGCUGGGAAUUCUGCCCUUUGUCAACAUUCCAAGACGUACCUAGUGAGAACGUGUAAAGUCUAAUCAGGGAGCCACUCACUACGAUGAGCUACACGUCUAUCCAGUUCCUAAAGCACUCUUACUCUUUGAUCCCUCCCCUGCACUGACUCCAUCAUUUUCCAACAACCUCCCCGAGUUUUCACUUAGGCACCAGCCACCUUUUGGCCCCGGUGGCCUGAGUGGGUCCCUGGAGAUAGAGCACAUGACCCUGACCUUAACCAAUCAGCCCUUCGCAUUCCCCAGCCGCGGCUACUGGUUCGGGGGCGGGCACGUGACCAGACGCUGGUGCGAUCGGAAUGAGGUUCAGGUCUUUGGCGGAAAGUCCUAGGAAAGAAGCUCAGGUUUCCCCUCUAGACCUGAGCCUGAAGGCUGGUGAGCGGAGCUCCCCCCCUGUAGCAUCCGGGAGCCUGGGCACGAAGCCGAGGACUGGAGAGAAGCUUCGUCCUGAGGACGGCAAGGAGCCCCGGAUCCAGCUUUGCCUGAAGCUGGCCCUACUUCUGGAUCUUCCCGCGAUGAGAACCAAUAAAUUCUCUUUAUAUGUGGAAGCCCCAUCUGAGCCACGCACUGUUGUCUCCAAGUGUGUUCCAUUGCACUCCAGUUCGUGAGAUAAAUCAGCAACAAGGAAAUGUGUUUGUAGCAAAAUUCAUUUGGGAAAUCAGGUGUGUGUACCAUCAUCCCGCCCUGGAAAAUCGCCAGUGGACCGUAGCCUAUGAAAGGCUCUGACAAGUCCUGCAGUAGAGGCCUGGUUGACUGAAUGAUCGCGGAACUCAUUUCGGGUGGCUUACCCAGCCGCUGGAUGGAAUGAUGAGGCACGAGGCCAAUUGCGCAGAGGGUGACCACUCCCUGAAGUGUGGACAGGGGUCGCCUCGAGAAUGGUGGCGCUUUGGGCAUGGGUGCGUGAACCAGCCAAGUAAGCUGUGUGGUUCGGCCCCAGAAUAUUUAAAGCCUAAAGCAGAUCGUGAGAUCUCGGAGUUCAUCUGGUUUCAACACCUCAUGUUGUAGAGAAGGCCAGUGAGGUCCCUAGAGGGGAGCUGUGUUACUAUCACCGGUCCGGGUUCUUGGCUGUGCACCGUGACCAAUGCUGGAUAACCAAGGGGAAAGAGAUGUGAUGGUGGGGGGAAGGGGGGAUAUUAGGGAGCCCACCGAACCCACUGGAAGCCUAGAGAUCCAGGUUCAGAAAACAAGCAGGAGUCCAGAGAAGGUGGGCUGCUGAGGGCAUGGCCCGACCACGCUUCAGCUGGGGCCAUGAUGCACUAGAAAUUGACCCAGGGCUCUUAGGGUCACUCCCGGGGGGAAACAGCCGAUUGGCCAUGUGCCCCCCGCAGUGGUCAGGGUCUGGGAGAACAUGUCUGGCUGUUUUGGUGUCUGCAUCUGAAGCCUGGAGCCUGCCUCUCACCAAGACUCAUGAAGGAAGGAAGUGCCUCCAUUUGGUGGGGGACAGAGUGAGGCUUCAGAUCCUGUCUCCUAUCUCCCAGUUGACAUGAUGCAGCCAAGGGUACUCUCUCCGAUGCACGUUUAAAGUCUUGAUUUCACCAAUAAGUUGGACCUUGACGAAUUUCUACUUACCAUGGAGGAUAACAUUUUGAAAAUAUUUAAAACAUCCCCCUAUACCGUU